AAGUAGUGCACUAGGGGCCUGGUAGAAAGUAGUGCACUAGGGUUCUGGUUAAAGUAGUGCACUAGGGGCCUGGUAGAAGUAGUGCACUAGGGGCCUGGUAGAAAGUAGUGCACUAGGGUCCUGGUAGAAAGUAGUGCACUAGGGUCCUGGUAGAAAGUAGUGCACUAGGGGCCUGGUAGAAAGUAGUGCACUAGGGUCCUGGUUAAAGUAGUGCACUAGGGGCCUGGUAGAAAUUAGUGCACUAGGGUCCUGGUAGAAAGUAGUGCACUAGGGUCCUGGUAGAAAGUAGUGCACUAGGGUCCUGGUAGAAAGUAGUGCACUAGGGUCCUGGUAGAAAGUAGUGCACUAGGGGCCUGGUAGAAAGUAGUGCACUAUUAACGGAAUAUGGUGCCAUUUGUGACUCAUGCUACAUGUGCCGAUGUCUCUUUAGAUAAAUAUCUUAUAUUUUUACAACAUGUCCUUUGUUGUCCAAUAGAACGAUGAUGAACUAGUUCUGCAUGUUACCACAUGUCCAUUAUUAUCCAAUGGAACGAUGAUGAACUAGUUCUGCAUGUUACCACAUGUCCAUUAUUAUCCAAUGGAACGAUGAUGAACUAGUUCUGCAUGUUACCACAUGUCCAUUAUUAUCCAAUGGAACGAUGAUGAACUAGUUCUGCAUGUUACCACAUGUCAAUUAUUAUCCAAUGGAACGAUGAUGAACUAGUUCUGCAUGUUACCACAUGUCCAUUAUUAUCCAAUGGAACGAUGAUGAACUAGUUCUGCAUGUUACCACAUGUCCAUUAUUAUCCAAUGGGACGAUGAUGAACUAUUUCUGCAUGUUUCCAACCAGGGAAAGAGAAACUGUAGAUAACUGCCAUGAUUAAAAAAAGUCAUGAGAUGUUCAGGGGUUAUUUUAGACAGCGUCAGACAUUAUCAACACCCACAGAGAGCUGGGGUCUUUAGACAGGGUCAGACAUUAUCAACACCCACAGAGAGCUGGGGUCUUUAGACAGGGUCAGACAUUAUCAACACCCACAGAGAGCUGGGGUCUUUAGACAGGGUCAGACAUUAUCAACACCCACAGAGAGCUGGGGUCUUUAGACAGGGUCAGACAUUAUCAACACCCACAGAGAGCUGGGGUCUUUAGACAGGGUCAGACAUUAUCAACACCCACAGAGAGCUGGGGUCUUUAGACAGGGUCAGACAUUAUCAACACCCACAGAGAGCUGGAGUCUUUAGACAGGGUCAGACAUUAUCAACACCCACAGAGAGCUGGGGUCUUUAGACAGGGUCAGACAUUAUCAACACCCACAGAGAGCUGGGGUCUUUAGACAGGGUCAGACAUUAUCAACACCCACAGAGAGCUGGGGUCUUUAGACAGGGUCAGACAUUAUCAACACCCACAGAGAGCUGGGGUCUUUAGACAGGGUCAGACAUGAUCAAUGACAUCCCUGGAGCAAUUGAGGUUGAGUGCCUUGCUCAAGGGCACACAGACAAAUGCUUCACCUUGUCUGCUCCUGGAGUUGAACUAGCGACCUUACGAAUCCCAGCCUGUGUGUGUCUAUACAGUAUUGGAUUGAAUCCCAGCCUGUGUGUCUGUCUAUACAGUAUUGGAUUGAAUCCCAGCCUGUGUGUCUGUCUGUACAGUAUUGGAUUGAAUCCCAGCCAAUGUGUCUGUCUGUACAGUAUUGGAUUGAAUCCCAGCCAAUGUGUCUGUCUAUACAGUAUUGGAUUGAAUCCCAGUCUGUGUGUCUGUCUAUACAGUAUUGGAUUGAAUCCCAGCCUGUCUGUCUGUCUAUACAGUAUUGGAUUGAAUCCCAGCCUAUGUGUCUGUCUGUACAGUGUUGGAUGGAAUCCCAGUCUGUGUGUGUCUAUACAGUAUUGGAUUGAAUCCCAGCCUAUGUGUCUGUCUGUACAGUAUUGGAUUGUAUCCCAACCUAUGUGUCUAUACAGUAUUGGAUUGAAUCCCAGCCUGUCCUGUGUGUGUGUAUACAGUACUGGAUUGAAUCCCAGCCUGUGUGUCUGUCUAUACAGUAUUGGAUUGAAUCCCAGCCUGUGUGUGUCUAUACAGUAUUGGAUUGAAUCCCAGCCUGUGUGUGUGUAUACAGUAUUGGAUUGAAUCCCAGCCUGUGUGUCUGUCUGUACAGUAUUGGAUUGAAUCCCAGCCUGUGUGUCUGUCUGUACAGUAUUGGAUUGAAUCCCAGCCUGUGUGUCUGUCUGUACAGUAUUGGAUUGAAUCCCAGCCUAUGUGUCUGUCUGUACAGUAUUGGAUUGAAUCCCAGCCUGUGUGUCUGUCUAUACAGUAUUGGAUUGAAUCCCAGCCAGUGUGUGUCUAUACAGUAAUGGAUUGAAUCCCAGCCUAUGUGUCUGUCUGUACAGUGUUGGAUUGAAUCCCAGUCUGUGUGUCUAUACAGUAUUGGAUUAAAUCCCAGCCUGUGUGUGUCUAUACAGUAUUGGAUUGAAUCCCAGCCUAUGUGUCUGUCUGUACAGUAUUGGAUUGAAUCCCAGCCUAUGUGUCUGUCUGUACAGUAUUGGAUUGAAUCCCAGCCUGUGUGUCUGUCUAUACAGUAUUGGUUUGAAUCCCAGCCUGUGUGUGUCUAUACAGUAUUGGAUUGAAUCCCAGCCUAUGUGUCUGUCUGUACAGUAUUGGAUUGAAUCCCAGUCUCCUGUCUGUCUAUACAGUAUUGGAUUGUAUCCCAACCUAUGUGUCUAUACAGUAUUGGAUUGAAUCCCAGCCUAUGUGUCUGUACAGUAUUGGAUUGAAUCCCAGCCUAUGUGUCUAUACAGUAUUGGAUUGAAUCCCA
Molecule: long non-coding RNA, 2783 nt
Organism: Oncorhynchus tshawytscha (Chinook salmon)
Lineage: Eukaryota; Metazoa; Chordata; Actinopteri; Salmoniformes; Salmonidae
Source: Ensembl